Molecule: RNA transcript, 1199 nt
Organism: Musa acuminata AAA Group (dessert banana)
Lineage: Eukaryota; Viridiplantae; Streptophyta; Magnoliopsida; Zingiberales; Musaceae
Exons: 8
Source: RefSeq, a predicted model, not a curated record
CAGUCUCUCAGGGUGGUGCAGUUUGGGUCGAACCUAAUCCAACUCAUAUCUGAUUUAAACGAGCUUGGGCGGCGGUAUUGCCAUCACGGGUCGCGCAACCCGACCCAAAUUGAAUCCGGAUGAGGGCCAUAACCCGACCCGCGUCGGCAACCCUUCCACUCUCCGAAACCCUAACCGCUGGCCUCAACGCCUACGCCGUGGCCUCUUUCCCUCUUCGACGGCGGCGACGGCUGUUCUUCAGAUCACUAGGUUGGUGCGUGGUGCCAGCCUUCUUGAGUAUCCGGUUACAUCGGUUGCAUUGCUUCAAGAAGGAACAGAUGAAGGUAAUUGAGCCUGUGGAGUUGUUCCAGAAGCUGUGCAGUUCGGGUGCCGUGCAAAAAGGACGAUUACUGGGAUUAGAUGUUGGGCAGAGAUAUGUUGGGUUGGCUGUUUCAGAUGUUGCUAAUCGAAUAGCAUCACCUGGAAGUGUCUUAGUCAGGAAGAAGACAAACAUUGAUAUCAUGGCUAAAGUUUUCCAGAAGUUGAUUUCUCAGCAUUCUCUCGUGGGAUUCGUUGUUGGUUAUCCAUUCUGCUUGUGGGGUCAAUCAAGUGUAGAGGCUGUGCAAGUUAGGCUGUUCAUGGAGGAUCUACGCAACACAGGGAGACUUAAUGGCCUAACCUACACAUAUUGGGAUGAAAAUUAUACCUCAAAGUGUGUGGAAGCCCUGUUAGAGCCACUGGAUCUAAAUCCAGUGAAAUCAAAAACAAUCAAGGACAAAUUUGCUGCCGUUGGAAUACUCCAGGGAUAUCUGGACAACAUGAACAGGAAAUUGAAAUCAGGAAACUUGGCUAGAGAGUGAUGCAACACCAGGAGGGACAUGAAAUGAAACAAAAGCAUGCAAGUUCUACUACUGGUUCUGAAAGCAUCUCAGUAAAAGCCAUUAGUAGCUUCUUAGAAGAAAGCCACAAACAGAUGGUAUGUCCCAAGAGAUGCAAGACUCGGAAAACUAUUGGAGCGUUGUGAAUUGGUCACGAUUGGUAGGAAUGUUUCACUCCGAUUUCCACUACAUUUUUUAAUGUUGGUCGCUAUAACCACCAACAAAAAAUUCUCCUCGAACACUCCUUCCACUACAAAAAAUCCAUCGAAACCCUAUAUGACUUAUUUUUGUUGGUUUCUAUUACACUUAUAAUUUUGAAAUAUAACGGGUCUUAAACGAUCA